This 207-nucleotide ribosomal RNA is filed under the name uncultured bacterium. Its description in RNAcentral is "partial 16S ribosomal RNA". It matches the Rfam family "Bacterial small subunit ribosomal RNA", at positions 568 to 774 of the family's 1533-position model. The record is from RNAcentral.
AGCGCAGACGGUUUAUUAAGUCUGAUGUGAAAGGCAUGGGCUCAACCUGUGGACUGCAUUGGAAACUGUCAUACUUGAGUGCCGGAGGGGUAAGCGGAAUUCCUAGUGUAGCGGUGAAAUGCGUAGAUAUUAGGAGGAACACCAGUGGCGAAGGCGGCUUACUGGACGGUAACUGACGUUGAGGCUCGAAAGCGUGGGGAGCAAACA